RNAcentral lists this ribosomal RNA (252 nucleotides) under uncultured bacterium. Its description in RNAcentral is "partial 16S ribosomal RNA". It matches the Rfam family "Bacterial small subunit ribosomal RNA", at positions 57 to 305 of the family's 1533-position model. The record is from RNAcentral.
GCAAGUCGAGCGGUAACAUUUCACAGUUUGCUUUGAAGAUGACGAGCGGCGGACGGGUGAGUAAUGCUUGGGAAUAUGCCUUAUGGUGGGGGACAACAGUUGGAAACGACUUCUAAUACCGCAUAAUGUCUACGGACCAAAGGGGGGGAUCUUCGGACCUCUCGCCAUUUGAUUAGCCCGAGUGAGAUUAGCUAGUAGGUGAGGUAAAGGCUCACCUAGGCGACGAUCUCUAGCUGGUUUGAGAGGAUGAUC